This is a long non-coding RNA of Aedes aegypti (yellow fever mosquito), 1013 nucleotides long. RefSeq lists it as uncharacterized. The record is from RefSeq and is a predicted model, not a curated record. NCBI's taxonomy places the organism in Eukaryota, Metazoa, Arthropoda, Insecta, Diptera, Culicidae. The transcript has 2 exons.
ACUGUACAUUUGAGAAGGUAUACUCUAAAGGACUCGUAAAGAGGAUCAACGACGGAACCAUCCUUAUUAAUGACGCAGUCGUAGAAGUUACAUCGAAUUGCACUAAUUCCAGCCAACCAUUAAGCGGAUCAUUCCUGAUACAAUUUACCCAAUGUAACCUUCAUAUUAACGGAGAACUCUACUCCAACUAUGAAAUCACCAUACCUGGUAGACCAUACUAUCCAACAACCGGACUACGAGUAGACGAAAUUCAUAUCAUCGAUGAACCACCUAUGGAAUACUUACAAAAACUUACAUUGGAUCAUCGAGAAGAAUUGGAAACCUUGAAGCUGCAAAAUCAUUCCCUUUCAUGGAAACUCAAUGUAUUUGGAAGCGUUGGACUUUCGUCGGUAAUUAUUGUCUCGAGUUCAAUAGCAGUUUUCUGUUAUUUUUUCAGAAGGAAACAGCAAUCAGACAUCAAAGUCACAUUCAACAAAGAUGCUGAGACUAUCAUAAUUCAUGACUUGGAGCCAUCACCAUCUUCAACAUUAUCAGAAAGCAAAUCUCUCACAUCAAAUCCAGAGGAACUAUCAGAGGAAAGAAAGAAAGAACUUCAAACAUUUUUCGAUACUCCAACAGCACUCCGCACCAUCCACAUGUAACUUUGAGGACAAAGUCACUUAAGAGGGGAGGAGUUAGCAACAGCGCGGCCUGCAUCAUCAGUCCAUCGAUCCCACGAUUUCAUCAGACGAUGGAUGACAUAUCCCAGACCACUUUCUUCGAUAAUCCAAACAAUCGCCGUUAUUGAAAUCACGCCGAUCACCGAUGUCGCCAAUGCCAUGAUGCUACGGACCACCCGCACGCAGAGUCAUCAGAAUCCAUUAGCGAAAACCAGAAUGGACUGCAACAUAAACAAUCCCAAACUGUUCCCACGUUCCAGGACUAACCCAGAACUAACUUCGUAGGUUAAGAACAAAAUGUAAAUCAGUCUUUAGUAAACCGUGAAUAAACGAAGAGCUAAGGCUCAAAAUAUA